Molecule: ribosomal RNA, 339 nt
Filed under: Triticum aestivum (bread wheat)
Lineage: Eukaryota; Viridiplantae; Streptophyta; Magnoliopsida; Poales; Poaceae
Description: partial small subunit ribosomal RNA
Source: RNAcentral
AUGGAGGAGGGCUACUACUUGUCGUACGCAUCCCUCUGCGGCGCCCUUGCGGUGAUUGUAGCAGGUUGGCUCGUGUACAGGUGGAUGAAUCCUCCGUGCAACGCCGGGAGGCUCCCUCCCGGAUCCAUGGGCUUCCCCCUCGUCGGCGAGACCUUCCGCUUCUUCAAGCCAAGCCCUUCUAUCGACAUCCCAGCCUUCUACAAGCAAAGGCUCAAAAGUGAAGCUCUUGCCCUAGCAGAUGAUCUUGAUAUUCAGAAUAUGGUAGUAGCAUCAGACUGCCAAGAAGUGAUAAAAGAUAUCAACAAGGGGAUGGGAGGUCCUAAUACGGCUAUCAUCUAA